AUUGAACGCUGGCGGCAGGCUUAACACAUGCAAGUCGAGCGGGGUAAUGGUGCUUGCACUAUCACUUAGCGGCGGACGGGUGAGUAAUGCUUAGGAAUCUGCCUAUUAGUGGGGGACAACAUCUCGAAAGGGAUGCUAAUACCGCAUACGUCCUACGGGAGAAAGCAGGGGAUCACUUGUGACCUUGCGCUAAUAGAUGAGCCUAAGUCGGAUUAGCUAGUUGGUGGGGUAAAGGCCUACCAAGGCGACGAUCUGUAGCGGGUCGGAGAGGAUGAUCCGCCACACUGGGACUGAGACACGGCCCAGACUCCUACGGGAGGCAGCAGUGGGGAAUAUUGGACAAUGGGGGGAACCCUGAUCCAGCCAUGCCGCGUGUGUGAAGAAGGCCUUAUGGUUGUAAAGCACUUUAAGCGAGGAGGAGGCUCUUAUGGUUAAUACCCAAGAUGAGUGGACGUUACUCGCAGAAUAAGCACCGGCUAACUCUGUGCCAGCAGCCGCCGUAA
Molecule: ribosomal RNA, 503 nt
Filed under: uncultured bacterium
Lineage: Bacteria
Description: partial 16S ribosomal RNA
Rfam family: Bacterial small subunit ribosomal RNA
Source: RNAcentral